This is a non-coding RNA of Schistosoma rodhaini, 33 nucleotides long. The record is from Rfam. NCBI's taxonomy places the organism in Eukaryota, Metazoa, Platyhelminthes, Trematoda, Strigeidida, Schistosomatidae.
CUGACGAGUCCCAAAUAGGACGAAAUGCGCGUC